ACACAUGGGAUGAAUAAUGAAUAUGCACAUGUCAUCAAUCACAAUCAUAUCACGAUCACAUCAUAGUAUUACACAUCAUCUGUCUCAAUCACAACCAUAUCACGACCACAUUAUAGUAUUACACAUCGUCUGUCUCAAUCACAACCAUAUCACGACCACAUUAUAGUAUUACACAUCGUCUGUCUCAAUCACAACCAUAUCACGACCACAUUAUAGUAUUACAC
This 224-nucleotide long non-coding RNA is filed under the name Solanum tuberosum (potato). RNAcentral describes it as "long non-coding RNA (STUB_LNC000518)". Lineage: Eukaryota; Viridiplantae; Streptophyta; Magnoliopsida; Solanales; Solanaceae. The record is from RNAcentral.